Molecule: ribosomal RNA, 446 nt
Filed under: uncultured bacterium
Lineage: Bacteria
Description: partial 16S ribosomal RNA
Rfam family: Bacterial small subunit ribosomal RNA
Source: RNAcentral
CCUACGGGGGACAGCAGUCGAGAAUCAUUCACAAUGGGGGAAACCCUGAUGGUGCGACGCCGCGUGGGGGAAUGAAGGUCUUCGGAUUGUAAACCCCUGUCAUGUGGGAGCAAAUUAAAAAGAUAGUACCACAAGAGGAAGAGACGGCUAACUCUGUGCCAGCAGCCGCGGUAAUACAGAGGCCUCAAGCGUUGUUCGGAAUCACUGGGCGUAAAGCGUGCGUAGGCUGUUUCGUAAGUCGUGUGUGAAAGGCGAGGGCUCAACCCGCGGACGGCACAUGAUACUGCGAGACUAGAGUAAUGGAGGGGGAACCGGAAUUCUCGGUGUAGCAGUGAAAUGCGUAGAUAUCGAGAGGAACACUCGUGGCGAAGGCGGGUUCCUGGACAUUAACUGACGCUGAGGCACGAAGGCCAGGGGAGCGAAAGGGAUUAGAUACCCUUGUAGUC